This 1525-nucleotide ribosomal RNA is filed under the name Shigella flexneri. Its description in RNAcentral is "partial 23S ribosomal RNA". It matches the Rfam family "Bacterial large subunit ribosomal RNA", at positions 1 to 1560 of the family's 2925-position model. Lineage: Bacteria; Pseudomonadati; Pseudomonadota; Gammaproteobacteria; Enterobacterales; Enterobacteriaceae. The record is from RNAcentral.
GGGUUGUGAGGUUAAGCGACUAAGCGUACACGGUGGAUGCCCUGGCAGUCAGAGGCGAUGAAGGACGUGCUAAUCUGCGAUAAGCGUCGGUAAGGUGAUAUGAACCGUUAUAACCGGCGAUUUCCGAAUGGGGAAACCCAGUGUGAUUCGUCACACUAUCAUUAACUGAAUCCAUAGGUUAAUGAGGCGAACCGGGGGAACUGAAACAUCUAAGUACCCCGAGGAAAAGAAAUCAACCGAGAUUCCCCCAGUAGCGGCGAGCGAACGGGGAGCAGCCCAGAGCCUGAAUCAGUGUGUGUGUUAGUGGAAGCGUCUGGAAAGGCGUGCGAUACAGGGUGACAGCCCCGUACACAAAAAUGCACAUACUGUGAGCUCGAUGAGUAGGGCGGGACACGUGGUAUCCUGUCUGAAUAUGGGGGGACCAUCCUCCAAGGCUAAAUACUCCUGACUGACCGAUAGUGAACCAGUACCGUGAGGGAAAGGCGAAAAGAACCCCGGCGAGGGGAGUGAAAAAGAACCUGAAACCGUGUACGUACAAGCAGUGGGAGCACGCUUAGGCGUGUGACUGCGUACCUUUUGUAUAAUGGGUCAGCGACUUAUAUUCUGUAGCAAGGUUAACCGAAUAGGGGAGCCGAAGGGAAACCGAGUCUUAACUGGGCGUUAAGUUGCAGGGUAUAGACCCGAAACCCGGUGAUCUAGCCAUGGGCAGGUUGAAGGUUGGGUAACACUAACUGGAGGACCGAACCGACUAAUGUUGAAAAAUUAGCGGAUGACUUGUGGCUGGGGGUGAAAGGCCAAUCAAACCGGGAGAUAGCUGGUUCUCCCCGAAAGCUAUUUAGGUAGCGCCUCGUGAAUUCAUCUCCGGGGGUAGAGCACUGUUUCGGCAAGGGGGUCAUCCCGACUUACCAACCCGAUGCAAACUGCGAAUACCGGAGAAUGUUAUCACGGGAGACACACGGCGGGUGCUAACGUCCGUCGUGAAGAGGGAAACAACCCAGACCGCCAGCUAAGGUCCCAAAGUCAUGGUUAAGUGGGAAACGAUGUGGGAAGGCCCAGACAGCCAGGAUGUUGGCUUAGAAGCAGCCAUCAUUUAAAGAAAGCGUAAUAGCUCACUGGUCGAGUCGGCCUGCGCGGAAGAUGUAACGGGGCUAAACCAUGCACCGAAGCUGCGGCAGCGACGCUUAUGCGUUGUUGGGUAGGGGAGCGUUCUGUAAGCCUGUGAAGGUGUGCUGUGAGGUAUGCUGGAGGUAUCAGAAGUGCGAAUGCUGACAUAAGUAACGAUAAAGCGGGUGAAAAGCCCGCUCGCCGGAAGACCAAGGGUUCCUGUCCAACGUUAAUCGGGGCAGGGUGAGUCGACCCCUAAGGCGAGGCCGAAAGGCGUAGUCGAUGGGAAACAGGUUAAUAUUCCUGUACUUGGUGUUACUGCGAAGGGGGGACGGAGAAGGCUAUGUUGGCCGGGCGACGGUUGUCCCGGUUUAAGCGUGUAGGCUGGUUUUCCAGGCAAAUCCGGAAAAUCAAGGCCGAG